AACGAACGCUGGCGGCGCGUCUUAAACAUGCAAGUCGAACGAUCUGUAGCAAUACAGGGAGUGGCGGACGGGUGAGGAACACGUAGGAAUCUACCUUGAAGAGCGGGACAACUUUGGGAAACCGGGGCUAAUACCGCAUAGUACAGAGAUGUUAAAGGGCUAGCAAUAGUCGCUUCGAGAUGAGCCUGCGGUCUAUCAGCUUGUUGGUGAGGUAAUGGCUCACCAAGGCUACGACGGAUAGCCGGUCUGAGAGGAUGAUCGGCCACACUGGCACUGAGACACGGGCCAGACUCCUACGGGAGGCAGCAGUUAAGAAUCUUGCGCAAUGGGGGAAACCCUGACGCAGCGACGCCGCGUGAAGGAUGAAGGCUUUCGGGGUUGUAAACUUCGGGUAGACUGGGAAGAAGAAAAUACGGUUACGUUGAGGGCGUAUAGUGACGGUACCAGUCUGAAGCCCCGGCUAAUUCGUAGCCAGCAGCCGCGGUAA
Molecule: ribosomal RNA, 487 nt
Filed under: uncultured bacterium
Lineage: Bacteria
Description: bacterial SSU rRNA
Rfam family: Bacterial small subunit ribosomal RNA
Source: RNAcentral